RNAcentral lists this ribosomal RNA (232 nucleotides) under Escherichia coli. RNAcentral describes it as "partial 23S ribosomal RNA". It matches the Rfam family "Bacterial large subunit ribosomal RNA", at positions 998 to 1230 of the family's 2925-position model. The record is from RNAcentral. Lineage: Bacteria; Pseudomonadati; Pseudomonadota; Gammaproteobacteria; Enterobacterales; Enterobacteriaceae.
CUAACGUCCGUCGUGAAGAGGGAAACAACCCAGACCGCCAGCUAAGGUCCCAAAGUCAUGGUUAAGUGGGAAACGAUGUGGGAAGGCCCAGACAGCCAGGAUGUUGGCUUAGAAGCAGCCAUCAUUUAAAGAAAGCGUAAUAGCUCACUGGUCGAGUCGGCCUGCGCGGAAGAUGUAACGGGGCUAAACCAUGCACCGAAGCUGCGGCAGCGACACUAUGUGUUGUUGGGUA